This 497-nucleotide ribosomal RNA is filed under the name uncultured bacterium. Its description in RNAcentral is "partial 16S ribosomal RNA". It matches the Rfam family "Bacterial small subunit ribosomal RNA", at positions 28 to 507 of the family's 1533-position model. The record is from RNAcentral.
GAUGAACGCUGGCGGCGUGCCUAAUACAUGCAAGUCGAGCGAACAGACGAGGAGUUUGCUCCUCUGACGUUAGCGGCGGAGGGGUGAGUAACACGUGGAUAACCUACCUAUCAGACUGGGAUAACUUCGGGAAACCGGAGCUAAUAGCGGAUAAUAUAUUGAACCGCAUGGUUGAAUAGUGAAAGACGGUUUUGCUGUCACUUAUAGACGGAUCCGCGCCGCAUUAGCUAGUUGGUAAGGUAACGGCUUACCAAGGCGACGAUGCGUAGCCGACCUGAGAGGGUGAUCGGCCACACUGGAACUGAGACACGGUCCAGACUCCUACGGGAGGCAGCAGUAGGGAAUCUUCCGCAAUGGGCGAAAGCCUGACGGAGCAACGCCGCGUGAGUGAUGAAGGUCUUCGGAUCGUAAAACUCUGUUAUUAGGGAAGAACAAAUGUGUAAGUAACUAUGCACGUCUUGACGGUACCUAAUCAGAAAGCCACGGCUAACUACGUG